GGGUUGUGAGGUUAAGCGACUAAGCGUACACGGUGGAUGCCCUGGCAGUCAGAGGCGAUGAAGGACGUGCUAAUCUGCGAUAAGCGUCGGUAAGGUGAUAUGAACCGUUAUAACCGGCGAUUUCCGAAUGGGGAAACCCAGUGUGAUUCGUCACACUAUCAUUAACUGAAUCCAUAGGUUAAUGAGGCGAACCGGGGGAACUGAAACAUCUAAGUACCCCGAGGAAAAGAAAUCAACCGAGAUUCCCCCAGUAGCGGCGAGCGAACGGGGAGCAGCCCAGAGCCUGAAUCAGUGUGUGUGUUAGUGGAAGCGUCUGGAAAGGCGCGCGAUACAGGGUGACAGCCCCGUACACAAAAAUGCACAUGCUGUGAGCUCGAUGAGUAGGGCGGGACACGUGGUAUCCUGUCUGAAUAUGGGGGGACCAUCCUCCAAGGCUAAAUACUCCUGACUGACCGAUAGUGAACCAGUACCGUGAGGGAAAGGCGAAAAGAACCCCGGCGAGGGGAGUGAAAAAGAACCUGAAACCGUGUACGUACAAGCAGUGGGAGCACGCUUAGGCGUGUGACUGCGUACCUUUUGUAUAAUGGGUCAGCGACUUAUAUUCUGUAGCAAGGUUAACCGAAUAGGGGAGCCGAAGGGAAACCGAGUCUUAACUGGGCGUUAAGUUGCAGGGUAUAGACCCGAAACCCGGUGAUCUAGCCAUGGGCAGGUUGAAGGUUGGGUAACACUAACUGGAGGACCGAACCGACUAAUGUUGAAAAAUUAGCGGAUGACUUGUGGCUGGGGGUGAAAGGCCAAUCAAACCGGGAGAUAGCUGGUUCUCCCCGAAAGCUAUUUAGGUAGCGCCUCGUGAAUUCAUCUCCGGGGGUAGAGCACUGUUUCGGCAAGGGGGUCAUCCCGACUUACCAACCCGAUGCAAACUGCGAAUACCGGAGAAUGUUAUCACGGGAGACACACGGCGGGUGCUAACGUCCGUCGUGAAGAGGGAAACAACCCAGACCGCCAGCUAAGGUCCCAAAGUCAUGGUUAAGUGGGAAACGAUGUGGGAAGGCCCAGACAGCCAGGAUGUUGGCUUAGAAGCAGCCAUCAUUUAAAGAAAGCGUAAUAGCUCACUGGUCGAGUCGGCCUGCGCGGAAGAUGUAACGGGGCUAAACCAUGCACCGAAGCUGCGGCAGCGACACUGUGUGUUGUUGGGUAGGGGAGCGUUCUGUAAGCCUGCGAAGGUGUGCUGUGAGGCAUGCUGGAGGUAUCAGAAGUGCGAAUGCUGACAUAAGUAACGAUAAAGCGGGUGAAAAGCCCGCUCGCCGGAAGACCAAGGGUUCCUGUCCAACGUUAAUCGGGGCAGGGUGAGUCGACCCCUAAGGCGAGGCCGAAAGGCGUAGUCGAUGGGAAACAGGUUAAUAUUCCUGUACUUGGUGUUACUGCGAAGGGGGGACGGAGAAGGCUAUGUUGGCCGGGCGACGGUUGUCCCGGUUUAAGCGUGUAGGCUGGUUUUCCAGGCAAAUCCGGAAAAUCAAGGCUGAGGCGUGAUGACGAGGCACUACGGUGCUGAAGCAACAAAUGCCCUGCUUCCAGGAAAAGCCUCUAAGCAUCAGGUAACAUCAAAUCGUACCCCAAACCGACACAGGUGGUCAGGUAGAGAAUACCAAGGCGCUUGAGAGAACUCGGGUGAAGGAACUAGGCAAAAUGGUGCCGUAACUUCGGGAGAAGGCACGCUGAUACGUAGGUGAAGUCCCUCGCGGAUGGAGCUGAAAUCAGUCGAAGAUACCAGCUGGCUGCAACUGUUUAUUAAAAACACAGCACUGUGCAAACACGAAAGUGGACGUAUACGGUGUGACGCCUGCCCGGUGCCGGAAGGUUAAUUGAUGGGGUCAGCGCAAGCGAAGCUCUUGAUCGAAGCCCCGGUAAACGGCGGCCGUAACUAUAACGGUCCUAAGGUAGCGAAAUUCCUUGUCGGGUAAGUUCCGACCUGCACGAAUGGCGUAAUGAUGGCCAGGCUGUCUCCACCCGAGACUCAGUGAAAUUGAACUCGCUGUGAAGAUGCAGUGUACCCGCGGCAAGACGGAAAGACCCCGUGAACCUUUACUAUAGCUUGACACUGAACAUUGAGCCUUGAUGUGUAGGAUAGGUGGGAGGCUUUGAAGUGUGGACGCCAGUCUGCAUGGAGCCGACCUUGAAAUACCACCCUUUAAUGUUUGAUGUUCUAACGUUGACCCGUAAUCCGGGUUGCGGACAGUGUCUGGUGGGUAGUUUGACUGGGGCGGUCUCCUCCUAAAGAGUAACGGAGGAGCACGAAGGUUGGCUAAUCCUGGUCGGACAUCAGGAGGUUAGUGCAAUGGCAUAAGCCAGCUUGACUGCGAGCGUGACGGCGCGAGCAGGUGCGAAAGCAGGUCAUAGUGAUCCGGUGGUUCUGAAUGGAAGGGCCAUCGCUCAACGGAUAAAAGGUACUCCGGGGAUAACAGGCUGAUACCGCCCAAGAGUUCAUAUCGACGGCGGUGUUUGGCACCUCGAUGUCGGCUCAUCACAUCCUGGGGCUGAAGUAGGUCCCAAGGGUAUGGCUGUUCGCCAUUUAAAGUGGUACGCGAGCUGGGUUUAGAACGUCGUGAGACAGUUCGGUCCCUA
This 2622-nucleotide ribosomal RNA is filed under the name Escherichia coli. RNAcentral describes it as "partial 23S ribosomal RNA". It matches the Rfam family "Bacterial large subunit ribosomal RNA". Lineage: Bacteria; Pseudomonadati; Pseudomonadota; Gammaproteobacteria; Enterobacterales; Enterobacteriaceae. The record is from RNAcentral.